This 254-nucleotide ribosomal RNA is filed under the name uncultured bacterium. RNAcentral describes it as "partial 16S ribosomal RNA". It matches the Rfam family "Bacterial small subunit ribosomal RNA", at positions 524 to 776 of the family's 1533-position model. The record is from RNAcentral.
UACGUAGGGUGCAAGCGUUAAUCGGAAUUACUGGGCGUAAAGCGUGCGCAGGCGGUUUUGUAAGUCUGUCGUGAAAUCCCCGGGCUCAACCUGGGAAUUGCAUUCGAGACUGCGUAGCUAGGAUGCGGAAGAGGGAAGCGGAAUUUCCGGUGUAGCGGUGAAAUGCGUAGAUAUCGGAAGGAACACCAGUGGCGAAAAGCGGCUUCCUGGUCCAGCAUCGACGUUCAGGCACGAAAGCGUGGGGAGCAAACAGG